RNAcentral lists this long non-coding RNA (367 nucleotides) under Ananas comosus (pineapple). RNAcentral's name for it is "long non-coding RNA (ACOM_LNC042739)". The record is from RNAcentral. Lineage: Eukaryota; Viridiplantae; Streptophyta; Magnoliopsida; Poales; Bromeliaceae.
AUUAAAAUAAAGGAUAAACAUCAAAUUGCUCUCUGUGGUAUGGUGCAUUUUUACUUCGUUUUUCCGUGGUUCAAAAAAUUAUACUGAGCCCUCCUAUGGUUUAGUUUAUUUUUGAUUUUGUUUCUCCAUGGUUUAUGAAAGUUAUACUUAACUACAUUAUAGUUAAGCACGUUUUUUCACUUUAUUAUCCUGUGAUUUUUUAACCAUUUUGCUUUGCCAUCCUAUUUACAUAGAAUUUUUUGGUAAAAUAAAAUUUAAUCACAAAGGAGCAAAAUUUAACUUUUUAAAUCAUAAGAUGGCAAAGAAAAAAGUAUUGUAACACAAAAGGACAAUUUGAAAUUUAUCUAAAUAUCGAGUUGUAGGGUUU